UGGGCCAGAAGGAGGCAGCAUUCUGUGUCGCUCCGUGACCUGGGACUCAAGUAGUGAGAACACUGCUUCUCUGCAAGCAAUACUCCUGCUCCAGUGCAGGAAUCACAGCCAUCAUGCCCAUCUAGGGCUCCAGGCCUCAGCCUCAGGGUAGGUCUUCCAACUACUUGUCCAUGCAGGAAAUACAAGAUACACAAGUGGGAUCAUCAGCAUCUACGUAAAACUUUUGGCCACCCACCUAAGCAGAAAUAACUGAUAUCACUCCCACACAGGACACCCGACAGCUUCUCACAUGCAGGAACUCUGGCCACCACUCCCGUGUGAACCCGCAUCUACCACCAUGGGGCUCCCCUGGUCUCUGCCAUCUUGGGACUACUCUGCAGCAGUGGAGACAGUCCCCUACACACAGUAGCCUGCCUGCACCCAGGAACUUCAUGAAUGCUCUGAAGAUAGCUGACAGCCACACACUGGAAGCCACAGAGCUCCUCUCUCAACUAAUUAUCCAACGUCAUCCCCUAGUUCUCCCACCCAACCUGACACCCCACCGCUGAUGGGCCUUCAUCACCAUCUUCAGUAGGGCAACAUCCAAUUUGGAACUUCAGCUGGCCAGGUAUCCAGUUUCCAACUCCCCUCUCUCCCCAGCAGCACUAUCCCCACACAGUGACACCCUGGUUACCUUCAUCAGCCUGAAAGUGGAGAAAUCAGCUAUUAACAGAUGACCCCAUCUCUUGGAUAAGAAGGGAAGUAGGAAAGAUACUGAUUUCCAACCACAACAAUCGGUGUUUCUUCCUUCAAGAUUUUUUUUCCUCUAUUAUCCCACCCUCACAUCCCCAACAUAUGUGAAACCAAGUACUUUGCAUGAAUUAGGAUUUUGAGGACUGGGAUAUCUCAAGAGUAUCUUACAGUUGUGUUGCAUAUUACUUUUCCCCACCAAUUUAUACUAUUUUAACAUCUUUUUCUUAACAUAUAUGUGUGUUUAUUUUAUGUAUUCUACUGUCUUCCCACUUACUUGUCUACCCAAAAUUACUUCCUCUCCUUUCUCCUGCUACUAAUCUUCUUCUUUAGAUUUCUCAUUCACACUUCCUAAGAUAUAACAACUCUAUAUUCUCACCUCCUACCUCCUCAGAAAAUCAUCCUACUCCUCACCCCUGGUGCUUUGUCCAUCAUCAGAAACUGUAAACCUUUUUACAAACCUACUAAGUAUAUUGUAGAUAAUAAUUGAAUUCACCAUUUCUGUACAUUAUGACCAAACUGUAAAUGUCUUAAUAGCAAACAUUGGUUUUUAGUGUGUAUAUUGUUUAUAUUGGGAUCUGAUAAUAUUGUCCUUCAACUCAAAGGAGAGGUAUUGGGUCCUUACAGGGGCACUAUCAGCCUAAAGUAAAAACAGUAAUGCCUUGGAUCCACAGAGCUAGAAAGGAAGACACAAGCAAUAUGAAAAGACAAGGGAAGAAAGUAUCCUAAACAAAUCAAGAUACCACAUUAAUAGAAUCUAUGAACAGCACAGCAGAAGAAAUUAUAAAGAAGGAAUUCAGGAUGUACAUGAUUAAAAUAUUCUGUGAAUUAAAGGAUGAUAUAAAAGAGCAAAUAUAGGCAGCAAAAGAUCAUUUUGAAAAAGAGCUACAUAAAUGAAUACAGGAAGCAAAAAAGCAAAAAAUUACUUCAGGGAGAUAGAGGUCCAAAAAAAAAAAAAACAGAAAUGAAAAAAAAAAAGCAAAUUAAAAAUUCAAUUGAAAGCAUGUAUAAAAAGACCAAAUUUAAGAGUUAUUUAAGAGUUAUUUCACCAAUUCUAUUUGACAUAGUUCUUGAAACACUGGCUAGAGCAAUUACACAGAAGAAAGAAAUUAAAGGGAUACAGAUAGGAAAAGAAAGAAUUCAAAUCGGCACUAUUUGCCAACAAUAUGAUUCUAUACCUAGAAGACCCAAAAAAUUCCACCAGGAAACUUCUAGAACAAUUAAAUUAAUUCAACAAAGUAGCAGGAUACAAAAUCAACACCAUUAUAUCAAAGGCAUUUCUGUAUAUCAGUGACAAAUCCUCUGAAAAGGAAAUGAGAAAAAGUAUUCCAUUUCCAAUAGCCUAAAAACAAACAACAACAACAACAACAAAACAAAAACAAAAACAAAAAAACCCUUGGGAAUCAACCUAAUUAAAGAAGCCCUUAGAAGAUGGAAAGAUCUCCCUUGUUCUUGGUUAGGCAGAAUUAAUAUUGUCAAAAUGACCAUACUACCAAAAGCACUAUAAAGAUUUAAUGUAAUUCCAGUCAAAAUCCCAAUGACAGUCUUCAUUGAAAUAGAAAACGCAGUCAUGAAAUUCAUCUGGAAAAGUAAGAGACACAGAAUAGCCAAAGCAAUCCUUAGCAAGAAGAGUGAAGUAGGUCGCAUCAUUAUACUAGACCUUAAACUAUUCCAUAGAGCAAUAGUAACAAAAACAGCAUGGUAUUGGCACCAAAACAAACUGGUAGACCAAUGGUACAGAAUAGAGGACACAGAGACUAACCCAUGAAAUUACAAUUAUCUUAUAUUAGACAAAGCUGCCAAAAACAUACAUUGGAGAAAAGAUAGCUUCAACAAACACUGAUAGGAAAACUGUAAAUCCAUAUGCAACAAAAUGAGAUUAAACCCCUAUCUCUCACCAUGCACAAAACUCAACUCAAAGUGGAUCAAGGACCUAAGAAUUAAACCAGAGACCCUGUGUGUAAUAGAAGAAAAAGUAGGCCCAAAUCUCCAUCAUAUCAGAGUAGGCCCUUACUUUCUUAAUAAGCAUCCUAUAGCACAAGAAUUAAAAUCAAGAAUUAAUAAACUGGAUGGAUUCAAACUAAGAAGCUGCUUCUCAGCAAAAGUCAAUGAGGUGAAUAGAGAGGCUACAGGUUGGGAGCAAAAUUUUACCACUUGCACAUCAGAUAGAGCACUAAUGUCUAGGGUAUAUAAAGAACUCAAAAAGCUAAAGACCAAACAACAACAACAACAACAAAAAAUAAUACAAAAAAAAUAAAUAAAAAAACACAAAUAACCCAAUCAAUAAAUGGGCCAAAGAACUGAAUAGACACCUCUCAGAAGAUGAGAUGCAAUCAGUCAACAAAUAUAUGGAAAGGUGUUCAACAUGUCAAGCAAUUAGAGAAAUACAAAUCAAAAGUAAGAUUUCAUCUGACUCCAGUCAGAAUGGCAGCUAUUAAGAAUACAAACAACAAUAAUUGUUGGCGAGAAUUCAGGAAAAAGGCACACUCAUACAUUGCUGGUGGAAAUGCAAAAUGGUGCAGACAAUAUGGAAAGCAGUAUGGAGAUUUCUUGGAGAGCUGGGAAUAGAACCACAUUUUGACCCAGCUAUUCCACUCCUCGGUUUAUACCCAAAGGACUUAAAAACAGCAUACUACAGGUACACAGCCACAUCAAGGUUUACAGUAGCACAAUUCACAAUAGCUAAACUGUGGAACCAACCCAGAUGCCCUUCAGUAGAUGAAUGGAUAAAGAAUAUGUGGUAUAUAUACACAAUGGAAUAUUACUCAGCAAUAAAAGACAAUAAAAUCAUGACAUUUGCAGGUAAUGGAUGGAGUUGGAGAAAAAAAUGCUAAGUGAAGUUAGCCAAUUCCAAAAAACCAAAUACCAAAUGUUUUCUUUGAUAUAAGGAGGCUGAUUCACAGUGAGGUUGGGAGGGGGAGCAUGGAAAGAUUAAUCAAACUUUCCCAUAGUGGGGAAGGGAAAGAUCAAGAGGGUAAAAAAGAUGGUGGAUUGAGAUGGACAUCAUUACCCUCAGUAUAUGUAUGAAGACACAAAUGGUGUCAAUAUAUUUUGUAUACAACCAAAGAUAUGAAAAAUUGUGC
Molecule: long non-coding RNA, 3812 nt
Filed under: Marmota monax (woodchuck)
Lineage: Eukaryota; Metazoa; Chordata; Mammalia; Rodentia; Sciuridae
Source: RNAcentral